GAGGUAUUAGUAUAUUUAGUAUUAUUCUUUUUCGAGGAAUGGGAUUUAUACCUUU
RNAcentral lists this transfer RNA (55 nucleotides) under Strongyloides sp. EN-2020a. Its description in RNAcentral is "tRNA-Glu". Lineage: Eukaryota; Metazoa; Nematoda; Chromadorea; Rhabditida; Strongyloididae. The record is from RNAcentral.